Cyprinus carpio carpio is the source of this 1037-nucleotide long non-coding RNA. The record is from Ensembl. NCBI's taxonomy places the organism in Eukaryota, Metazoa, Chordata, Actinopteri, Cypriniformes, Cyprinidae.
GAAAGAUUCCCCUCAUGCAGAUUUUGCAUCAGGUUCAACUGGUCUUGCAAAUUCACAAUGAUGACAAGCAGAAACCUGUUUGUUUUGAAAGUGACUUCUGAGUGAGUUGUGCUUCAUACAUCUCUACACUAUCGAUCGUUUAUCUUCAGAUUUUCAUUAAAGUAAUUCUUAUUUUUAACAGCAAUCCACACAAAUUCAUUACUAGAUUAUUGACUUUUUUUUUUUCCUCGAGGAAUUUCACUAAUGCGACCAAACCUUAGCUAUAACUGGCUUAAGAAAUGAGAACGCAGAGUUUUGAGGUCGCAGCGGCCAUGGAGCUCGUUCAAAUACUGAGGUGCUAAACCACUCAGGGCUUUACAUCUUGGUUUGGUGUAUGAGGCCUUACAAUGAAUAUAGGCAAUUCACCCCCAAUCCAGAAGGGGGCACCUGCAGCAGUGCAACGCUGAUUGAUAAACGGCCGCCAGCAGAAGAACAGCGAAUGCCGAUGUUAAUUGGAUGACUGAAGAAGUGUAGAUUACUUGUGGAUUAUCGUGAUGUUUUUAUCAGCUGUUUGGACUCUCAUUCUGACGGCACCCAUUCACUGCAGAGGAUCCAUUGUUGAGCAAGAGCUGUAAUGUUAUAUUUCUCCAAAUCUGAUGAAGAAACAAACUCAUCUCCAUCUUGGAUGGCAUGAGGGUGAGAAAUUUUCUGCGAAGUUUCAUUUUUAGUUAACUAUUCCUUUUAUCUGGUAUUAUUAAGGGGAGUUUUAAGGUUUUAGAUUUUUUAGCACUUUUAACAUGGAUCAUUUACUUAUCACAGUGUUAAAUUACUUGAGUGGUUACAUUCAUUGAUGCAUUUUGACUAAAUAAAUACAUUUAAAAAGAUUACUUUUUUCAGGUAACCAGGAAAGAAACACAUUACUUUUUAAUUAAAAAAAGUAUUUAAUCUCAGUUUAGUAACCAAUGUCUAAAGUAAGAGUGUUGAACUUUCUUCUCUUGCAUCCUAUUCUUCCACAAUCCAGAAUGGCAGCACAGCUGAGAGGUUUGUUUGAACUGUAC